RNAcentral lists this ribosomal RNA (448 nucleotides) under uncultured bacterium. RNAcentral's name for it is "bacterial SSU rRNA". It matches the Rfam family "Bacterial small subunit ribosomal RNA", at positions 31 to 524 of the family's 1533-position model. The record is from RNAcentral.
GAACGCUGGCGGUAUGCUUAACACAUGCAAGUCGAACGACCCCUUCGGGGGGAGUGGCGGACGGGUGAGUAACGCGUGAGGAACCACCUCUAGUUCGGGGACAACAGUUGGAAACGACUGCUAAUACCGGAUGAGCCGAGAGGUAAAAGAUUUAUUGACUAGAGAGGUACUCGCGUCUGAUUAGCUAGUUGGUGAGGUAAGAGCUUACCAAGGCAACGAUCAGUAGCUGUUCUGAGAGGAAGAUCAGCCACACUGGGACUGAGACACGGCCCAGACUCCUACGGGAGGCAGCAGUGGGGAAUUUUCCGCAAUGGGCGAAAGCCUGACGGAGCAAUACCGCGUGUGGGAGGAAGGCCCUUGGGUCGUAAACCACUUUUCUUAGGGAAGAAGUUCUGACGGUACCUAAGGAAUAAGCCUCGGCUAACUCCGUGCCAGCAGCCGCGGUAAU